Molecule: ribosomal RNA, 1034 nt
Filed under: Staphylococcus haemolyticus
Lineage: Bacteria; Bacillati; Bacillota; Bacilli; Caryophanales; Staphylococcaceae
Description: bacterial SSU rRNA
Rfam family: Bacterial small subunit ribosomal RNA
Source: RNAcentral
GCUAUACAUGCAGUCGAGCGAACAGACAAGGAGCUUGCUCCUUUGACGUUAGCGGCGGACGGGUGAGUAACACGUGGGUAACCUACCUAUAAGACUGGGAUAACUUCGGGAAACCGGAGCUAAUACCGGAUAAUAUUUCGAACCGCAUGGUUCGAUAGUGAAAGAUGGUUUUGCUAUCACUUAUAGAUGGACCCGCGCCGUAUUAGCUAGUUGGUAAGGUAACGGCUUACCAAGGCGACGAUACGUAGCCGACCUGAGAGGGUGAUCGGCCACACUGGAACUGAGACACGGUCCAGACUCCUACGGGAGGCAGCAGUAGGGAAUCUUCCGCAAUGGGCGAAAGCCUGACGGAGCAACGCCGCGUGAGUGAUGAAGGUCUUCGGAUCGUAAAACUCUGUUAUUAGGGAAGAACAUACGUGUAAGUAACUAUGCACGUCUUGACGGUACCUAAUCAGAAAGCCACGGCUAACUACGUGCCAGCAGCCGCGGUAAUACGUAGGUGGCAAGCGUUAUCCGGAAUUAUUGGGCGUAAAGCGCGCGUAGGCGGUUUUUUAAGUCUGAUGUGAAAGCCCACGGCUCAACCGUGGAGGGUCAUUGGAAACUGGAAAACUUGAGUGCAGAAGAGGAAAGUGGAAUUCCAUGUGUAGCGGUGAAAUGCGCAGAGAUAUGGAGGAACACCAGUGGCGAAGGCGACUUUCUGGUCUGUAACUGACGCUGAUGUGCGAAAGCGUGGGGAUCAAACAGGAUUAGAUACCCUGGUAGUCCACGCCGUAAACGAUGAGUGCUAAGUGUUAGGGGGUUUCCGCCCCUUAGUGCUGCAGCUAACGCAUUAAGCACUCCGCCUGGGGAGUACGACCGCAAGGUUGAAACUCAAGGAAUUGACGGGGACCCGCACAAGCGGUGGAGCAUGUGGUUUAAUUCGAAGCAACGCGAAGAACCUUACCAAUCUUGACAUCCUUUGACAACUCUAGAGAUAGAGCCUUUCCCCUUCGGGGGACAAAGUGACAGGUUGGUUGCAUGGGUUGUCGUCAGCU